CAGGAUUAGAUACCCUGGUAGUCCACGCCGUAAACGAUGUCGACUUGGAGGUUGUGCCCUUGAGGCGUGGCUUCCGGAGCUAACGCGUUAAGUCGACCGCCUGGGGAGUACGGCCGCAAGGUUAAAACUCAAAUGAAUUGACGGGGGCCCGCACAAGCGGUGGAGCAUGUGGUUUAAUUCGAUGCAACGCGAAGAACCUUACCUGGUCUUGACAUCCACGGAAGUUUUCAGAGAUGAGAAUGUGCCUUCGGGAACCGUGAGACAGGUGCUGCAUGGCUGUCGUCAGCUCGUGUUGUGAAAUGUUGGGUUAAGUCCCGCAACGAGCGCAACCCUUAUCCUUUGUUGCCAGCGGUCCGGCCGGGAACUCAAAGGAGACUGCCAGUGAUAAACUGGAGGAAGGUGGGGAUGACGUCAAGUCAUCAUGGCCCUUACGACCAGGGCUACACACGUGCUACAAUGGCGCAUACAAAGAGAAGCGACCUCGCGAGAGCAAUCGGACCUCAUAAAGUGCGUCGUAGUCCGGAUUGGAGUCUGCAACUCGACUCCAUGAAGUCGGAAUCGCUAGUAAUCGUGGAUCAGAAUGCCACGGUGAAUACGUUCCCGGGCCUUGUACACACCGCCCGUCACACCAUGGGAGUGGGUUGCAAAAGAAGUAGGUAGCUUAACCUUCGGGAGGGCGCUUACCACUUUGUGAUUCAUGACUGGGGUGAAGUCGUAACAAGGUAACC
This 728-nucleotide ribosomal RNA is filed under the name uncultured bacterium. RNAcentral's name for it is "bacterial SSU rRNA". It matches the Rfam family "Bacterial small subunit ribosomal RNA", at positions 773 to 1501 of the family's 1533-position model. The record is from RNAcentral.